UUACACUUAACCAAUUUUCGGUUAAUUUUUAACCAAUUCCAACAACAAAUAGCCUCUCGAAUUUCUUUCAAAUGAUCAAGCAAAAACCUAUGUCUGAGCAUGAAAGUAUCACCAUAAUGCUAUUCAAACCCACGCCUAUUAGUUACUCUAUAUAUAAUAUAUGUAUUAGGUCGUUUUAGUAUUUAAAUUUCUUUUCUGGUUAACUGUCUUCUUCGUUAUAGUAAUACCAUGCAGCAUAAAUAGAAAGUGAAUCGCUAUAAAUCAUGUGUUCUUUAUAUGCUUUUAAUAUUCUUGUUUUUGCUAUUCUUUGAUAGUAUAAAAUUAGACGUCAACGGCCCUAUUUAAACUGUUAGAAGACACAGUGGACUACCAGGCGCGGAGCCAGCACCCGGCGAGGGGGCGCGGCCGUGCGUGCUGGCUUCGCCGGAAUCUUGAGAAUCGCCUGGUAGCAAUUGCCAAUCAGGCCUUUGCUGAAGUUGCAGAGCCGGCCGGAGUCAGGAGAAGAACUGAAGAAGACGAAGAUGAAAGUGAAGAGCCCUUUUUUUUUUGGUUUGGGCUUCAGUUAAGUGAUUUAGAGUAAUUGUUGGGCAGUUGGGCUUCUUUUUGUUUAGCCCAAUUCUCAAAUGAAAAAAACAAAUGGUCCAAUUUAUCAAUCAUUUUCAAUCGUGCAGCCAAGAAUCCAAAAUUCUCUUCUUCUGUCCAAUUCCCAAAUUGUGGAAGCCUAAAUGCCAAUUGUCAAACCCUUUUCCUCCCUUUCUCCUUUCAACCAGACUCCAUCAAAGAAUAGGUAGCAUCGACGACGCCACGAGCAGGAGGGAUUCACCGUAGCCAAGUGCCAACAACCGCUGCAGUGCCGAGCCGAUUGCCGUGAGUGAGUCCGUGAGACCGUGACUGCUGGCUGCCGCUGCCGUUUUUAGGUGGACCACUCAGGUGAAAACUGUGGACAAGCCCCACAGUUUGCCAAUCAUAGUAAGUAAAGCAAUAUGUUGAGAAAAUGGUAUGAAUUUUUGGGUACGACUUUGUAGGCUCGUUAUCAGCUUCUGACUGUCCUUUAACUUUCAUGAUUCGACGAUUUCUAGGAGUCAAUAAUUUAGGUCGAGUUAGUUGCACAAAUGUUCUGCUCCUCAAGAAACUCAAGUAUUUUGUGUUUGAGAAUUGUGAUUUAUGAAUUAUGAUAAGUAAUUUAUGUUA
Molecule: long non-coding RNA, 1191 nt
Organism: Olea europaea var. sylvestris
Lineage: Eukaryota; Viridiplantae; Streptophyta; Magnoliopsida; Lamiales; Oleaceae
Exons: 2
Source: RefSeq, a predicted model, not a curated record